AGCAUCGGAACGUACCCAGUAGUGGGGGGAUAGCCCGGCGAAAGCCGGAUUAAUACCGCAUACGACCUGAGGGUGAAAGCGGGGGACCGCAAGGCCUCGCGCUAUUGGAGCGGCCGAUGUCAGAUUAGGUAGUUGGUGGGGUAAAGGCCUACCAAGCCUGCGAUCUGUAGCUGGUCUGAGAGGGCGACCAGCCACACUGGGACUGAGACACGGCCCAG
This 218-nucleotide ribosomal RNA is filed under the name uncultured bacterium. RNAcentral describes it as "partial 16S ribosomal RNA". It matches the Rfam family "Bacterial small subunit ribosomal RNA", at positions 114 to 334 of the family's 1533-position model. The record is from RNAcentral.